AUUGAACGCUGGCGGCGUGGCUAAAGCAUGCAAGUCGAGCGAACCCGCAAGGGUGAGCGGCGGACGGGUUAGUAAUACGAUCGAACGUGCCCCGAGGCGGGGGAUAGGCAUGGGAAACUGUGCGUAAUACCCCAUAAUCUCUCCGGAGCAAAGGUUUACCACCUUGGGAUCGGCGAUCGUCCUAUCAGCUAGUUGGCGGGGUAACGGCCCACCAAGGCGAUGACGGGUAGCAGGUGUGAGAGCACGACCUGCAACAUCGGGACUGAGACACUGCCCGGACUCCUACGGGAGGCUGCAGCGACGAAUCUUCCGCAAUGGGCGCAAGCCUGACGGAGCGACGCCGCGUGUGGGAUGAAGCGUCUACGACGUGUAAACCACUGUCAGGGGGCAGAACCAAUGAUCGCCCCCAAAGGAAGAGACGGCUAACCCUGUG
This 433-nucleotide ribosomal RNA is filed under the name uncultured bacterium. RNAcentral describes it as "bacterial SSU rRNA". It matches the Rfam family "Bacterial small subunit ribosomal RNA", at positions 29 to 507 of the family's 1533-position model. The record is from RNAcentral.